RNAcentral lists this ribosomal RNA (447 nucleotides) under uncultured prokaryote. Its description in RNAcentral is "bacterial SSU rRNA". It matches the Rfam family "Bacterial small subunit ribosomal RNA", at positions 355 to 796 of the family's 1533-position model. The record is from RNAcentral.
UCGAGAAUCUUCCACAAUGGACGCAAGUCCGAUGGAGCGACGCCACGUGCGGGAAGAAGGCCUUCGGGUUGUAAACCGCUGUUGAAGGGGAUGAAGACCCAAAGGGUACACUCUUUGGGUUUGACAGAGCCUUUGAGGAAGCGCGGGCUAAGUACGUGCCAGCAGCCGCGGUAACACGUACUGCGCGAGCGUUAUUCGGAAUCACUGGGCGUAAAGGGUGCGUAGGCGGCCCGAUUAGCCAGAUGUGAAAUCCCACCGCCCAACGGUGGAACUGCAUUUGGAACUGUCGGGCUUGAGCGAUCUAGGGGUGAGCGGAACUUCCGGUGGAGCGGUGAAAUGUGUUGAGAUCGGAAGGAACACCAAUAGCGAAAGCAGCUCACUGGGGAUUGUCUGACGCUGAGGCACGAAAGCUAGGGGAGCGAACGGGAUUAGAUACCCCCGUAGUCC